UUUCCGUAGGUGAACCUGCGGAAGGAUCAUUAUUGUAUAACCGAGGUGCGAGGGCUGUCGCUGACCCGAAAGGUCGUGCACGCCCGAGUGCCCUCACACACAUCCAUCUCACCCCUAUGUGCACCACCGCGUGGGUCCCCCUUUGGCUUGUUCGGAGGGGGGCUUACGUUUUCACAAAAACUCUGUAUGCAGUGUAGAAUGUAUUUUUUGUUUUUGCGAUCACGCAAUCAAUACAACUUUCAACAACGGAUCUCUUGGCUCUC
This 263-nucleotide unclassified non-coding RNA is filed under the name plant metagenome. Its description in RNAcentral is "partial contains small subunit ribosomal RNA, internal transcribed spacer 1, and 5.8S ribosomal RNA". The record is from RNAcentral.